ACCGAAAGCUUAGGAAAAAAGAAGAUGGACUCUCAUUUCCCAAAUUUAUUUUAAUACAAAUGGGAUUAUUGUUACACAAACUCAACUUUUUUCCUAAGCUUUCGGUCUCUCACCAUUUUAUACAUAUUAAUAAAUAUAUACAUAAAACUCGGCAAACCAUCUAACUGAAACAAAAAGCACCUGCCUGGACGCUACUUCUCCUAAACUAGGAUGACUUUAUCUCCUAUGCUCUUCCUCUCAACAUGGCUGCAGUGAGAACCGAUUCUUACAAACGAGGCUUGUGAAUCAAAUAGGACUCUUUAAUAUACAUAGCUGGUCAGUCAAACAAGAACGAUCUGGCUUGCACCACUAGGAACAAUUUACAAGUUUGCAAGCUGCCAAUUAUGAGCUCUCUUGGAAUUUGAGUGACCGAGACAAUGCUGCAGGAUUGGCUUGUAAUA
RNAcentral lists this unclassified non-coding RNA (440 nucleotides) under Hevea brasiliensis (rubber tree). The record is from RNAcentral. Lineage: Eukaryota; Viridiplantae; Streptophyta; Magnoliopsida; Malpighiales; Euphorbiaceae.